UCGCCGAAGCUUCUUCAGGACAAUUGACUGCAUCCAUCAUCUGUGUCUUCUCCACCAAAGUUUCCUUUGCCAAAAGCCUCUUUGGUGGAGCUUUCACCACAGCCUCCAAUGGGAAAACCGUAGCCUCGACAAUCAAAAGGAGCUUUUCAUCUCCCACAAUCGUGGUAGCUAGUUUAAUGGCCGAAAUCUUCACAUCGCC
This 199-nucleotide long non-coding RNA is filed under the name Elaeis guineensis (African oil palm). RNAcentral's name for it is "long non-coding RNA (EGUI_LNC050033)". The record is from RNAcentral. Lineage: Eukaryota; Viridiplantae; Streptophyta; Magnoliopsida; Arecales; Arecaceae.